Molecule: transfer RNA, 66 nt
Filed under: Orithyia sinica
Lineage: Eukaryota; Metazoa; Arthropoda; Malacostraca; Decapoda; Orithyiidae
Description: tRNA-Asn
Source: RNAcentral
UUGGUAGAAGCCAAACCAGAGGCAUAUCACUGUUAAUGAUAUCAUUGAAAUUUAUUUCCUUCCAAG